UAGGGUCUUCGGUAUGUGUUGUAAGUGUAACUUGUAAUAGUAAUGACUUGUAUUUGUUAAGAAUAACAACUGUUUGGUGAAAGAAAGUUUCAGAUAAGCACGGAAGACGGUGUUCAAGAUCUGGAACUAUGAUUGAAAGUAAUUUCUCAGAUGAUGUAAGUUCUGGGUCCCAGUGUGUUGAUUUUCCAAGCUUGCUAGCUGAAAUGAAAGCUCAGAAUUUUGAUGUUAUCAGAUUUGCAACGUACCGCACAGCAAGCAAGCUGCGAUUUAUUCAAAAGAAAACAAACCUUAAUUUGCUUGAUAUCUGGAACAUCAUUGAAGCCUUCAGAGAAAAUAGUUUGAAUACUUUGGAGUCUCGGAUGGAAAUAAAUAUAUCUCGGCUGGAAACAUUGUUAUCCUCCCUCUUUUACCAGCUCAACAAACGACUGCCUGCAAGCCACCAAGUAGACAUUGACCAGUGUACUUCAUUGUUAUUGAACUGGAUUCUGCUGAUGUAUGACCGGGAAGACAAUGGAAAAGUAAGAGUUUUUUCUGUGAAAAUUGCUUUAAGUAUCAUGUGUUCGGGGAAGUUAAUGGAUAAGCUUCGAUAUGUAUUUUCCCUUUUGUGUGAUGCCAGUGGAUAUCUUGUGUACAGCAAGUUUGUUGAUUUUUUGCAAGUAGCCUUGGCACUACCAUCUUCAGUUUUAGAAUCUCCAACUUUUGCAUACAGUGAUAGUUUACCUGGAACUAUCUUUGAUGGGUCAAAAGUAACAGUGAAUGAUUUCCUUCAUACCUUGAUGUCUGAUCCUGGACCACAAUGUUUGAUUUGGCUUCCUCUGCUUCAUCGAAUGGGUAGUGUAGAAAAUGUUCUCCACCCUGUUCAAUGUGAUGGGUGCAAUAGAGAAUCUUUCCUUGGGUUUCGGUAUAAGUGUCAACGAUGUUACAACUAUCAGUUGUGUCAGGAUUGUUUCUGGAGGGGUAGAGUGUCUGGUAGUCACACAAGUCAACAUGAGAUGAAAGAAUACACAAUCUAUAAAUCUCCUACAAAACAACUAAGCCAUUCACUAAGAAAAUCCUUCAGAUGCGUGCCAGAAAAACAUGGACAAGGAAUCCCAAGGUUUCCAGAUGAACCAGAGCCUACACUUAACCUUUCUCACAUUGUGCCACCUUCUCCUAUACCAAGCCGGAAUGGACUAUUUGACUUAAAUAAUUCUUAUGAUCUUUCCUCUUUGGACAGUCGUUCAGUCACUAAAAGCCCUUUGCGACACACACUAAGUCUAGAGUCUUCCCGAGUUGAUGAUGAGCAUCGUCUUAUAGCCAGAUAUGCUGCUCAACUUGCUGGUACUCAGCCUACUACAAGAAGCCCAUCAGACUUGAGCCUUAACCUGGACAUUUUGAAACAACGAGAAUUGAUAUCUCAGUUAGAAGCCAAAAACAGGGAAAUAAUGCGUGAGAUCAUGAGGUUACGUAAGCAGCAAGAACAGGAAGAUGCAGCUCUGAAGUCGGAACAAAACCCCACCUUAUUAGCUGAACUCAGAGCUUUGCGGCAGCGUAAGGCUGAACUGGAGACUCAUUUAUCUAACCUCCAAGAAAGUCGACGGGAACUUAUGGUGCAGUUAGAGGGUCUAAUGAAGCUACUAAAGAACCACCAGUCUUCUCCUCGCUCCACUCCUAACAGUUCUCCACAUUCUGGCACCUCUAAAUCUCCUCCAUUAUCUACGGUAUAUCCAUUGUCUUCCUCACGGAGUGCACCUACUACCCCAGGUAGUGGGGCUCCUACCACAGACAGUCUUACUGGUGUUGGAGGAGAUGUGCGGUUAGCAUUUGGCCAGUCAGGAAGUUCUCGAUGUCUUCCAAAUGAUCUCCUUGUAGCAGCAGACUCAGUGACAAAUGCUAUGUCCUCACUUGUUAAGGAGCUUAACUCUGGCUCUGAAGAUGAAGGAGAAAAUGGGAGCAGAAAAGUGAUUAAAAGUGGCAGGGGUUUUGAAACUGAAGGAUCAGAGUGUGCCACAGAUAGUUUUAAAGUGGGUGGAACACUGUGGAGGGAAGAAAGGCAGUGGGAACAGGAAAGUCAUUUUCUUGCAGAAUUAGAAUCUAGAAAGUUACACACAGGUAAUGGAAAAAGCAGUCACCAGAGUUUAGAUCCAAGAACUGAAGAUGACAAUGAAGAAUUGUAUGACAAUGAUCCAAGGGACCUUGCCCACUUCCAUCGUCAUGCAUCACUUACUACAGAUGAUGAAAGUUACGUCCGUACAGAUGAUGAAGAAGGAGGAAACACUGAUUGGGAAGAGACCAUGAGAAGAUGGGUGAAUCGCUAAGAAAAUUAUGCUACUUAUUCAUGAGGAGUUUCAUCAUUCAGUCAGUGCUGCAUAGUAAUUGUCUUAUUGUUCCUUUGAAAUUUGCUGUUCUUCUGUUUUUGAGUUCAUAUGCGUUUCCAAUCUAUUCCUGCCAGAUCUAGUUGAGCUGUACAUCUAAUCACAUAGUGUAGUGGCUUCUUCCUUCAAACCUCAAGACCUUGCCCAUUUCCAUCAUCAUGCAUCACUUACUAGUGAUGAUGAAAGUUAUGUCUUGGAGUAAAAGAAUUGUAAUUGGUUGGUUAUGAUUAAAAUAUGUGUUAAAAUUUACACUACAUUGGGAAAGGAAAAAAUAUUGUAACAAAUUCUCAACACUUGUUACUUUGAUUUUAUCCUUGAUAGUGGAGAAUCUUAGUAAUUGUUCUUAAUUAUUUUUAUUUGUGGGUGGAAGUUAAUCUGAAUUCUGAUUUUAUGUAAUUAUGACAAAUUUAGAUGUUUUUCCAGUCUAAUUUUUAUGAGUUAUAUAAAUGAAAAUAUUAAGAUAUUACAAUUAGUAAUUAAACUUGUUGGGAAAAAGUUUUAUGCCAUAAUGGUGCUUUUAAAAGCUUAGAUCUGCCUGUUUUUUCUCAUGCAUGUAUAUUUUAUUUAGUUGUUUCUUGCUAGAGGUUAACUGGUAUGUAGCCACCAACACAUACUAGCUAAGACAAACCUUCUGUUUGAAUAUUAUAGAUUAUUAUUUUAUUAAUAGAUGCUUUUAGAUAGAAAUUUAAGGGGUUAUUACCUUACAUAUGUAUUAAUUAACCCUUUAUGACAUCGUGAUUUUUAUUAAUCGUGGUCCUGUAUAUUAAUCCAUUUAAACAGGCAUACUAGUCGUUAGGCCUAUUGAUUAUAUGUUUGUUAUUUGUAAGGUUAUACCAGAUGUUUGUGAAAGUUUACCAUCUCAUAAAUAGUAAAUUGUGUAUCUUUUACUGAAUGUUUUCAUAUAUUAUGUGGCCACUAACUGAAAUUUUGUACCAACUGGUAAUUUGUCAACCUAACAAUAUUUUUAACUUUUGCGGCUUUUCUAUUUUCAAAUUGGUGUAGAUGAACAAAACAACUGGUUUGGUUUGGUGUCCACUCAUAGAAAGAAAUAAUGAUUUAUUCUUUGAACUACUUCUUAUUUCAGCUUGUUACAAAACUACAUGUUCAUUUACCUUUCAAACCCUACACAAUACAUACUAAAGGUGCAAAAUAUGAUGAUACAUGGAGAGCAUAUUAGAUCACAGAAGUUGUCAGGACCUAUUAAGAAAGCCAAUAAUUCAUGCAAGGUAGUUCUUCCUUCAUUAUAGGAAAGGAAAGACGGCCCACUUUCUGAAGAGCACUUAGGUUAUUCAAUUUACUUACUUGUGUAUAAUACUAUUUGGUCUGGUAAUCAUUAUGGGUAUUAUUAUUGCAAAGGCUAGUGUUUUUUCAUCAUUAUUCAUUUAUCUACUUCACUAAUUUGUAACAUUAUCUAAUAAUCACUCAUCAUGCAGCCAUAAUUGUUUUGUGUGUGUGUCACUCUCUAUUACCACAGUUGUGACACUUAAAAGAUAUUACCAUGAAUUGAGAUUUAGUGUAGAAUGUUUAAUUACCAGUCUUUUUUUUUUAUUGAACGUAGUAUUAUCUGAAGAUCAGUGUAAAAAUUUAGAACUUUUCUGUGAUGGUGAUCUUUUCAAAAAGGUGGAAGUCUUUCUGAAAUCAGUCACACUUUAAAAUGAUGAUAUACAAAAGAAAAGAAUACAUAAUUUAAAAUACUGGUUAAAUUGAUAAUAGGUUCAGGAUAUUUUUAAGAAACUGUUGCCCCCCUUUUACCUAUACACUAGUUUAAGAAAUAGGUUUAAAACAAAAUAUUAGCCAUUUGGAGGGGUGGAGCAGGAAUAAAGAGAUCUGUUAUAAUUGUUUAAAGAAACUAAGCAAAAAAAUGUGUAACUGUUGCUAUGUGUGUUCAUGUAUUGGUUGUUAAAUUGUCCAUGAUCAUCUACAUAUCCUCUUGUGCCUCACCACUUACAAGACAAAAGUACAAACCCUUAGGGCAAAUGACACUUGUAGUUUUUAAAUCUUGGAGUGAAAGAUUGUAAUUGGUUGGUUACGGAAUACAUUUAAUGUACUGGGAUGAGUUGAGUAACUGGGAUAACAGGUUAGAAUUACAUUAAACUUACAACACUAAAAUCCAGGGUGUGAUUCCCAGCAAUGGACAAGAGCAUACAUAGGCAUUGUGUAGCUUUGUGCUGAAGAAAACUAAUAACAUUGUAAUGAUUAAAUAUGUUGUGACCAUUAAAGUGUUGUAAGGGUAAAAGAUGUAUUGUGAUUGUUACAGGGUUUAAUAUCACAGUCAUAAAAUACAGUUUACUUUGUUAUGUGUGUUAGAUUUCUUUUUAUACUUCAUAUUUGUAUCAUUUGUCAAUUCUGGUUUAAAAUUGCAUACUACUUUCAAACAGGAAAGGUGUCUGGGUUAAUAUUACAUACUUUAGUAUGUUCUGAUGAAGAAACAAAUUUGUUUUAUUACAAACAAAAUUUGCUGAAUUAUAAUUUAUAGAUUGAAGAUCUAUAUUUUAUGCAUAUAAAGUUCCAUGUCUACAUUACUUCCAAUUUGUACUAUUAUUGUGUUUGACCAAGUAUUAUGAAAGAUUAGUUUGUUUGAGUAGUGAUACAUUGCACAUGGAUGGCCAGCUUUUUAGGUAGUAUUCCAUAGCUAUCACUUGAUUAGAAAUUUUUAGUGACUUUUUCCCGUUGGUUUAGUCUUAUGGUAGGUCCAUUUACUUCUUAUUAUUGAUGAAGUUGUUAUUACCAUGGAAAGUCUCAUCUGGUGUUUCUUAUGUAGUUAGUAAGCAAGUAAACAUAAAAUUCUAUCCUAUAAGGGCUAAUGUGCAACUCUACAGAACAGUAGGUAAACUGUAUCGAUACACAUCAGAAGAAAGUGUACUGUGAGCUGGCAUUAUGUAUGAUUGGUUGCUCUAUUGUACGUUGACCACAAAAUGAAGAGCUUAACAAUUACACAUUUAAAAAGGUAGCAAUCAGAGUGUGAAUAGGGUGGUAACCACAGAAUGAAGUGAGUAGCAAUCACAAAAUGAUAUAUUUUGGACAAUUAUCAUUAGUCAUGAAAAAUGACUGAUUCUGUAACUGAGAUCACAAGCAUUAUUUAGUGCACUUAAUAAUUCUAGUGAUUUAGUUAUCAAAUUUGGCAAUAGAUUCAUCUGCUAUGAUUUUCUACAAAAUGUUCUAGUCAAAGUAAGAAGUAUUAAAAUGUUAGAGGAAUAUCUAGGGCCCAUAUUAUUUAGUUUUAUACUUGCUAACAUUGGCUUUAUAAGUGGUUAGUAAACAUAGUACACGGAUUCUCCUUGGCAGAUAGAACUUUUGUAAUUUAAGGUUAUAUUCAUUGCACAAUGUUUCACUUCAUAACACCAAUAUAACUAAAGAACUUAUAACAUUGCAUUUUCCAAAUUUUGUUUGUUUUGAGGUGUGAUAGCCAAACCCAGUGUUACUGUUUAAAUGUUUUUAAAAAAAUGGAAACAGAAACCUUUCUGGAUUCAUUACCAGGCAGAAGUUUUAACCAAUUGACCUGUUGAACCUACUGAAAGCCACAUCUCUGUUUUCAUUUCAUCAGUUUGGUAGAACUCUUGAGCUGUGACAAUCAGAUUAUAAAGCCCAGAAUCCAUUUAUUUCCCACUGGGUAUCAAUUUUGAAGGCACUGACAGAAAAACCAAAAGCUUGUAAUUAAAACAAGUUGUGAAAUCUUGAGGUUUUCAUUGUUUCAAAGUUAUAUUUUCCAACCAAGCAUCUUUAGCCAUGAUAUUUCUAAUUUUACAGUAUGAGAAGGACCAUGUUAAUACUACCAUCUUGUAUGAACAUUGUUUGUACAUCAACUAACUUCACUUGAACAAAAUAACAAAUCUAUUGUUGUGUUUAUAUACAUUUCACCUCUUAGUUUACUGAUAUUUGUGUGGGAAUAGUAUUUUGCAUCCCUGCCAUUUGGCAGUUUUAGUUAACAAGAAGAAGGUGUUACUAUACUCUUGUUGUGGAAAAGAUUAAAGCAUAUUAUUAUCAAAAUUACAUUAUUAAUAUUUAUUUUGGAGGUUAUUUUAAAUGCAGGAAUAAUUCAAAAAACUUUUAUUUAUGGGCCAGAUUCACAUAACAUUAUCUAUUACAAGAUUUGAAGCUCAUUCGUACCUUAUUUGUCAGGAGAAAAACAUUUUAAAAUCAGAGUUUAAAAUGUCUCUCACUUGAAGAACUUGUAAAUGUUGUAAUCAAUUUUUUUUUUGUUCCCUGCAGACAAUAUUGUCCCUAUUGCAUGUCAUAGUUCACUAAAACUGAAAUAAAUGGCUAACCCUCUAGCAAAUAUUAGUUAGGCACUUUUUUAACAAUUCUAACUACAUUCUUUUUUCUUAUUAAAAAAAAAUGCCCUUGGGUCUCGGCCCGGCAUGGCCAGGUGGAUAAGGUGCUCGAUUCGCAAUCUGGGUCGCGAGUUCG
RNAcentral lists this unclassified non-coding RNA (6761 nucleotides) under Limulus polyphemus (Atlantic horseshoe crab). RNAcentral describes it as "dystrobrevin beta-like, transcript variant X6". Lineage: Eukaryota; Metazoa; Arthropoda; Merostomata; Xiphosura; Limulidae. The record is from RNAcentral.